UUUUUUUUUUUUUUUUUUUUUUUUUC
RNAcentral lists this non-coding RNA (26 nucleotides) under Prorocentrum micans. Lineage: Eukaryota; Dinophyceae; Prorocentrales; Prorocentraceae. RNAcentral also lists the same sequence under 1 other name. The record is from RNAcentral.